AUGCUUCUCUCCCGGCGGUUCUCCUCCGCCCUCGCUCGUUCCGCCUUCCUUGCGAGAUGCCCCCUUCCACCCCGGGCCCCUCCGCCCCCUCGCCCCCUGCCACGCCGCCUCAUGUCCUCCUCCUCCUCUGGGUGGCACCACUCUUCCCGUCUCCCGCCGCCGCCUCCUCCGCCGCCUCCGUCCUUCUCCGACAAGGAUCAGCUGUUCCGGGGGCUGGAGGCGGCGUUGGGCACCACGUUUAGCUCCGAGCCGCUGGCGCCGCCGCCGGAGCCGAUGAUCCUCGUCAUCAGUGGCCCGAGCGGUGUCGGGAAGGAUGCAGUCAUCAAGAGGCUGCAAGAGGAGAGGGAAGAGAUCCAUUUUGUUGUUACCGCGACGAGCAGGGCAAUUCGGCCGGGUGAAGUUGAUGGGAAGGACUAUCACUUUGUCACCAAGGAGGCGUUCCUAACCAUGAUUGAAAGGGAGGAGUUGCUUGAGUACGCGCUUGUUUAUGGGGAAUACAAGGGGAUUCCCAAGCAGCAGAUCCGUGAUUACAUGGCCAAAGGACAUGACAUUGUCUUGAGAGUCGACAUUCAAGGAGCAGCAACUUUGAGAGAGAUACUUGGCGAAUCUGCAAUUUUCAUCUUUUUAGUUGCAGAGAGCGAGGAGGCACUUGUCAAAAGGCUCAUUCAACGUAAAACUGAAACUACAGACAUGCUUCUUGUCAGAAUUGCAACAGCCAGAGAGGAGGUGAGGCGGAUGAAAUAUUUUGACUACGUUGUAGUCAAUGCUGAAGGGAAGCUUGAGGAUGCUGUUAAACAGGUUGAGUCUAUCAUUGAUGCUGAGAAGGCAAAAGUCCAAAAGCGUAAUGUCAAGAUCUAG
This 858-nucleotide ribosomal RNA is filed under the name Triticum aestivum (bread wheat). RNAcentral describes it as "partial small subunit ribosomal RNA". Lineage: Eukaryota; Viridiplantae; Streptophyta; Magnoliopsida; Poales; Poaceae. The record is from RNAcentral.